This 232-nucleotide RNase P RNA is filed under the name Salmo salar (Atlantic salmon). RNAcentral's name for it is "Nuclear RNase P (ENSSSAG00000041694.2, ENSSSAG00070011360.1)". It matches the Rfam family "Nuclear RNase P". From Rfam's summary of the family: Ribonuclease P (RNase P) is a ubiquitous endoribonuclease, found in archaea, bacteria and eukarya as well as chloroplasts and mitochondria. Its best characterised activity is the generation of mature 5'-ends of tRNAs by cleaving the 5'-leader elements of precursor-tRNAs. Cellular RNase Ps are ribonucleoproteins. The record is from Rfam by way of RNAcentral. Lineage: Eukaryota; Metazoa; Chordata; Actinopteri; Salmoniformes; Salmonidae.
GUGGGCUGAAGCUCAUUGAAGAGAUCACAUCAAUCAACCAAUCACCUCAGGGAAGGUUUAGACCAGGAACCAAUCACUGCCCUGGCAGUGCAUCCUGAUCUGGAUGAGUGACAUCACAGAGAAUUCAGGUUGUUUUCACAGGAGUACUGCUAUCGAUGACGUCACUGCCUUGGAAACGCUCAUGGAUGUUGUGUGACGUUGGAGUACAUCCAGACUACUAAGUUCACCCCCC